ACUCCUACGGGAGGCAGCAGUGAGGAAUAUUGGUCAAUGGGUGCAAGCCUGAACCAGCCAUCCCGCGUGAAGGACGACUGCCCUAUGGGUUGUAAACUUCUUUUGUAUAGGGAUAAACCUACCUCGUGAGGGUAGCUGAAGGUACUAUACGAAUAAGCACCGGCUAACUCCGUGCCAGCAGCCGCGGUAAUACGGAGGGUGCAAGCGUUAUCCGGAUUUAUUGGGUUUAAAGGGUCCGUAGGCGGACUUAUAAGUCAGUGGUGAAAGCCUGUCGCUUAACGAUAGAACUGCCAUUGAUACUGUAAGUCUUGAGUAUAUUUGAGGUAGCUGGAAUAAGUAGUGUAGCGGUGAAAUGCAUAGAUAUUACUUAGAACACCAAUUGCGAAGGCAGGUUACCAAGAUAUAACUGACGCUGAGGGACGAAAGCGUGGGAGCGAACAGGAUUAGAUACCCUGGUAGGUCAGUC
Molecule: ribosomal RNA, 466 nt
Filed under: uncultured bacterium
Lineage: Bacteria
Description: bacterial SSU rRNA
Rfam family: Bacterial small subunit ribosomal RNA
Source: RNAcentral